Molecule: small RNA, 2138 nt
Filed under: Homo sapiens (human)
Lineage: Eukaryota; Metazoa; Chordata; Mammalia; Primates; Hominidae
Description: long intergenic non-protein coding RNA 1149 (ENSG00000234858.1)
Source: RNAcentral
GGAUUCCAGGGCUGCUCAGGAGACGCCUCCAUCCUGGCGUGGAUGACCUCAGGAUCAGCCCCGUCUGCCCCACUCAGCCCGCAGCCUGGUCCCCGAAAGCGCUCAGUCAGAAUCCGAGAGCAGUGUGGCGGCGCCCCCGUGUGGCCACAGGACUGAAGACAGAGGACCCCGCUCCCCUUUCUCCCCAGCCAGGACGUCCCAGGCUCUCCCCCUGUUCCCCGCACCUGGACGGGACUCUGCACAGAAGAGAGUCUCCCGGUCUCGUGUCAGGCUCUGAGUUCAUCCAGCUUCCCAAAAUCCAUGUUGAUAUGAACGUUUUCUCCCACAACUGAUUGACUGGACUUUUGUCUCAGGGCAGAGGGAGGCCUCCAGACCAAAACAGCAGGAUCAGGUCUGGAGCUGACUCAACCCCAAACCCUUGCUAAUGCACGACCCAGUCCCCCAGCCUCCAGGAUGGGACCUUGGCCUCCUGUCCCCUCCCUUGUUCCUGCCACUGCUCCUGCAGGUGGAGGCUGCUCAUCCCAGGAAUCAGUCUGUGAGCUCCAACCUUGGGGCCUCGGUCCAGGAAGGAGGGAGGCUCCAGAGAGCAGAAGGGAGAUGAAAUGGAUCAUAAGAGAAGAAGGAAUCAUACCAAACACUGGAACUGACCUUUGUGAUGCUCAGGAAUGUCCUGAUGUCAGCGGAGAUGAAGGAAAACCAGAGAUUCAAAAGUCAAAGGAAAGGGCCAUUUACCAUAAUUCAUAUCAUACAUAUUUCCUGGAAAAAAAAGAAAAAUUCCUUGGGGAAAAAGCAUCAAAAUCAUCAGGAAGUCUUCCACACAGAAAUGACUUCAUUAAUUUGAUCUCUGUCAUUCUUUCUUUUCAUUCAUGUAUUAUUAUCCAUAGAGAUUUCUAUCCUGUGGGUUUUUUAUUUAAUUUUUGUUUGUUUGGUUUUUUCAGACACAGUGAGACCCUGUCUCAAACAAACAAACGUCACAGGCUGCAGUGCAGUGGCACAAUCAUUGCUCACUGCAGCCUCGACCUCCCUGUCUGAAGCAAUCCUCCAGCCUCAGCCUCAUGAGUAGCUGAAACUACAGGAACAUGCCACCAUGCCCAACUAAUUUUUUAAAAAAUUUUUUUGUAGAGAUGAGGUAUCACUAUGUUGCCGAGGCUGGUCUCAAACUCCUGGGUUCAAACAAUUCACCCACCUUGGCUCCCCAAAAUGCUGGGAUUACAGGCCUGAGCCACGUACCCAGCCUCUAUCCCAUGUUUUGAUUCAUCAUCAUCUCCUAAGCCCUUUCCCAGCAUCGAUAGUCUACUAAACAUGCCAUGAUUAAAUUAUAUCUCUAUACCUUGAUAUAAACAAAAAAUUAUAUGAGCAGUAAAGACAAAUAUGAAAAAGUAAAAUUACUGCCAAAGUUAUUAGGAGGAUAACCUAAAUUAUUUGGGUAGGAAAAUCUUUCUAUUUUAUUUUUUUUUCCAGCCAGGGUCUCAUUCUGUCACUCAGGCUAAAUUACAGUGGCCCGAUCAUGGCUCACUGCAGCCUUGACCUCCCAAGAUUCAGGUGAUCCUCUUGCCUCAGCCCCCUGAGUAGCUGAGACAACAGGCAUGUGAGACAAUGCCUGGCUCCUUUUUAUAUUUUUAGUAUAGAUGGGGUUUUGCCAUGUUUCCCAGGCUGGUCUCAAACUUCUAGGCUCAAACGAUCCACCCACCUCAGCCUCCCAAAGUGCUGGGAUUACAGGCAUGAGGCACUGUGCCAGCCUCUUUUUUUUUUCUUCACAUCUGCUGGAAUGGAAAAUAUUUCUUAAAUGAGACACAAAUGUAUCAAAUUGAAAAUGUUUAAACUUCAAAGGACUUACAUACAUAUACAGUCAUUCUUCGCUCAAUGGUGAGAUAGCUUCUGAGAAAUGAGUCCUUAGGUGAUUUUGUCAUGUGUGGACAUCAUAGAGUGUCCUUACAUGAACCUAGAUGGUAUAACCUACUUCACACCUAGGCUACGUGAUAAGCCCAUUGCUUCUAGGCUACAAAUUAUAUAGCAUGUUACCGUAUGGAACAUUGCAGCCAAUUCUAACACAAUGGUAAGUAUUUGUGGAUCUAAGCAUGUGUAAACAGAGAAAAGGUACAGUAAAAAUGUGAUUAAUAAAAAGAUCUUUAAAAUGG